AGUUUUGUGUGGUCUGUUUGAAGAACCUGAAUAAUACAUAACCAAAGCAAGCAAAUACAAACCUGGACUAAUACAUAACCGAAGCAAACAAAUACAAGAGACCCCAGGGAUGCUCACGCACAGAGGAAAGACCAUGUGGAAACACAGUGAGAAGGCGGCCAUCUGCAAGCCAAGGAAAGAGGCCUCAGAAGAAAUCAAAGCUGUCAACACCUUCAUCUUGUACUUCUAGCCACCAUAAUGGUGAGAAAACAAUUUUUUUGCUGUUUAAGCCACCCAGUCUGGGAUAUUUUAUUAACAUCAAAACGAGUGAUGGCUAAUUUUAUGAGUCAACUUGACUGGGCCAUCGAGUGCACAGAUAUUUGACUAAAUAUUGUCUGAGUUUGCCUGUGAGGGUGUUUCUGAGUGAGAUUGACAUUUGAAUUGGCGGACUGAGGAAAGCAGAUUGCCCUCCUUAAUGUGGGUGGGCCUUGUCCAAUCUGUUGAAAGCCUGAAGAGAAUAAAAUGAUGGGUAAAAAGAAUUUAUUCUCUCUCCCUAACUGUUCCCUAACUGUUUGAGCUGGCACCUUGAUCUUCUGCCUUUGGACUCAAGACUUGGAUUAGAACUUACAUCACUGGCUCUCCUAGUUCAUGGACUUGGACAGGAAUGAUACUAU
Pan troglodytes (chimpanzee) is the source of this 653-nucleotide long non-coding RNA. RefSeq lists it as uncharacterized. NCBI's taxonomy places the organism in Eukaryota, Metazoa, Chordata, Mammalia, Primates, Hominidae. The transcript is spliced from 3 exons. The record is from RefSeq and is a predicted model, not a curated record.